GAUUGGAUAGCUCAGUUGGUAAAGCAUGAGAUACUUUAUCUCAGGGCUGUGGGUUUGAGCUCCAUGUUGGGCA
Podarcis lilfordi (Lilford's wall lizard) is the source of this 73-nucleotide non-coding RNA. Lineage: Eukaryota; Metazoa; Chordata; Lepidosauria; Squamata; Lacertidae. The record is from the annotation of a GenBank genome assembly.